Small nucleolar RNA from Mus pahari (shrew mouse), 141 nucleotides. RefSeq annotates it as small nucleolar RNA SNORA48. The record is from RefSeq and is a predicted model, not a curated record. The transcript has a single exon. NCBI's taxonomy places the organism in Eukaryota, Metazoa, Chordata, Mammalia, Rodentia, Muridae.
UCCCCCUGACAAUGGACAAAGAGACAUCUUGGUGGUGUUGAUCUUGUAUCAGUCAGGGGCAGAGCAGAUGGCGGUCCUUUAUUCAUCUCAGCUCGAUGUCUGGCUUGGUGGCCAAAGCUGUCUCACGCCUAGAACUCAUGG